GGAAGACAAGGCAUCUGAAUCAUUACAAACAAAAAUUGUGAACCAGGAUGACGACUUAUCAGAGACUUCCAUGGUGGAAUCUAUAUUUGGAAUGUACAUAUCUCCUGACGAUGUUGUUGCGAUAAUAGGUCAAAAACAUUUCUGGAAUGCCAGAAGAGCUAUUGCCACCCAGCAAAGAGCGUUUGCGGUUCAAGUUUUUGAGUUGCAUCGUCUAAUAAAGGUCCAGAGACUCAUAGCUAGUUCACAAAGCAUGCUUGAAGAUAGUGCUUAUUUAAGCAAAGCGGUAAAGGAUUCAUCUCCUAAAAAACUUCCAUUGGAGUAUAUCGCAAGAGAUGGUCACAAUGUUCCGAAGCAGAGGAAGAAUUUUGAGAAGCCAAACACUAGGAUGGAAUGUUCUGCGGAAAAUACAGAAGGCAAACCUGUGAAGGAUUCAUCUGCUAAAAGACUUCUGUUGGAGUAUAUUCCUAGAGAUGGUCACAAUGUUUCAAAGCAGAAGAAGGAUUUUGAGAAGCCUAACAUUAGUAUGGAAUGUUCGGCUGAAAACACGGUGGGAAAGGGAUCCUUCUCUUCUGUGCAAAAUAAUAGCCAGUCUUCAAGCUACAGUUUGUUUUCAGGUCACCCAAUAGCAAAUGACUCCACCAUGGGGGGUCCUUGGAGCUUCAAUCAACCCUCAGGGCACCAAUGGUUGAUCCCAGUCAUGACUCCUUCCGAAGGACUAGUAUACAAGCCAUAUCUUGGACCCGGAGUCACGAGUUCAAUCUGUGGAGGUUAUGGACCCCCAGGAUCAACUCCAAUAAUCGGAAACCAUUCAGCUCCAUCUUAUGGAAUUCCUGCUUCUCAUCAUCAGUAUCAAGGGGUCAGAAUGCCA
Molecule: unclassified non-coding RNA, 868 nt
Filed under: Hevea brasiliensis (rubber tree)
Lineage: Eukaryota; Viridiplantae; Streptophyta; Magnoliopsida; Malpighiales; Euphorbiaceae
Source: RNAcentral